RNAcentral lists this ribosomal RNA (775 nucleotides) under uncultured Neocallimastigales. Its description in RNAcentral is "partial large subunit ribosomal RNA". It matches the Rfam family "Eukaryotic large subunit ribosomal RNA", at positions 24 to 616 of the family's 3401-position model. The record is from RNAcentral. Lineage: Eukaryota; Fungi; Neocallimastigomycota; Neocallimastigomycetes; Neocallimastigales.
UAUGUGAUCGUCUCUCGCAUAUCAAUAAGCGGAGGAAAAGAAACUAACAAGGAUUCCCCUAGUAACGGCGAGUGAAGCGGGAAGAGCUCAAAUUUGAAAUCUUAAAGGGUUUCCCUUUACGAAUUGUAGUUUAAAGAAGUGUUUUCUGUUGAGGUUUUGGUAAAAGUUCUUUGGAAUAGGACAUCAUAGAGGGUGAGAAUCCCGUAUUUGACCUUUACUUUCAACUUUGUGAUACACUUUCAAAGAGUCGGAUUGUUUGGGAAUGCAGUCCAAAAUGGGUGGUAAAUUUCAUCUAAAGCUAAAUAUUGGCGAGAGACCGAUAGGCGAACAAGUACCGUGAGGGAAAGACGAAAAGAACUUUGAAAAGAGAGUUAAACAGUACGUGAAAUUGUCAAAAGGGAAGCGUUUGACACCAGUGUUGUUUUUCUGAAAAUCAAUUAAAGAACUGUUUAUGCUAAGCUGUUUAGACUUUAUCAGCUAUCUGUUUAGUUUUGAGCUUUUCUUUAAUGCACUUUUCAGUUAACAAGUCAACAUCAAUUUCUUUUGCUGUAAAAAAGCUUGAGGAAGGUGGCUUGAGAUUCGUCUUAAGUGUUUAUAGCCUCUUGCCUAUGCAGUCGGAGAGAUUGAGGUCUGCAGCGUAGAUCCUUCGGGGCUAAAUGCAUUUGUGCUAAGUUAUAGCAUUUUAUAGACAACUUGUUGACUAUGAUUUGUCUUGUAGCUUACUCGCUUAUGUUAUUUUACCUACGCUUAGGAUGUUGAGCGCAUGUCUCUCUCU